RNAcentral lists this ribosomal RNA (460 nucleotides) under uncultured bacterium. RNAcentral's name for it is "partial 16S ribosomal RNA". It matches the Rfam family "Bacterial small subunit ribosomal RNA", at positions 338 to 795 of the family's 1533-position model. The record is from RNAcentral.
CCUACGGGAGGCAGCAGUGAGGAAUAUUGGUCAAUGGGCGCGAGCCUGAACCAGCAAAGUAGCGUGAAGGAUGACUGCUCUAUGGGUUGUAAACUUCUUUUAUAAGGGAAUAAAGUGAUCCACGUGUGGCUUUUUGUAUGUACCUUAUGAAUAAGGAUCGGCUAACUACGUGCCAGCAGCCGCGGUAAUACGGAGGAUCCGAGCGUUAUCCGGAUUUAUUGGGUUUAAAGGGAGCGUAGAUGGAUUGUUAAGUCCGUUGUGAAAGUUCGCGGCUCAACCGUAAAAUUGCAGUUGAUACUGGCAGUCUUGAGUACAGUAGAGGUAGGCGGAAUUCGUGGUGUAGCGGUGAAAUGCUUAGAUAUUACGAAGAACUCCGAUUGCGAAGGCAGCUUACUGGACUGCAACUGACAGUGAGGCUCGAAAGUGUGGGUAUCAAACAGGAUUAGAUACCCCUGUAGUC